UACGAAGGGGGCUAGCGUUGCUCGGAAUUACUGGGCGUAAAGGGCGCGUAGGCGGGUGUUUAAGUCAGAGGUGAAAGCCCAGAGCUCAACUCUGGAAUGGCCUUUGAGACUAGAGGACUUGGGUACGGGAGAGGUGAGUGGAAUUCCGAGUGUAGAGGUGAAAUUCGUAGAUAUUCGGAAGAACACCAGUGGCGAAGGCGGCUCACUGGCCCGUUACCGACGCUCAGGCGCGACAGCGUGGGGAGCAAACAGG
RNAcentral lists this ribosomal RNA (253 nucleotides) under uncultured bacterium. Its description in RNAcentral is "partial 16S ribosomal RNA". It matches the Rfam family "Bacterial small subunit ribosomal RNA", at positions 524 to 776 of the family's 1533-position model. The record is from RNAcentral.